AAAAAUUGCCAAAAGAGUCAAAAAUAAAUAAAAAUAAUAAAAAAAUAAAAUUAAUUUUAAAUUAAAAAAUAAAAACGAAAAUGAUAUUAAAAAACCUAACAAAAAAUAAAAAAUUAAUUAUUUAGACUUUUUUUAGUAAAAUAAUAAAAUAAAAGGAAUGAUAAUAAGUUUUGGACCCGCAACUCUAUACUUAAACUCC
Molecule: long non-coding RNA, 199 nt
Filed under: Lathyrus oleraceus (garden pea)
Lineage: Eukaryota; Viridiplantae; Streptophyta; Magnoliopsida; Fabales; Fabaceae
Description: Pisum sativum (pea) long non-coding RNA (PSAT_LNC009936)
Source: RNAcentral